UACGUAGGGUGCAAGCGUUAUCCGGAAUCACUGGGCGUAAAGCGUGCGUAGGCGGAAGCUUAAGUGUGAUGUUAAAUCGUGUGGCUCAACCAUAUCGAUGCAUCGCAUACUGGGUUUCUAGAGGACGGCAGAGGCAAGUGGAACUCGUAGUGUAGCAGUGAAAUGCGUAGAUAUUACGAAGAACACCAAUGGCGAAGGCAGCUUGCUGGGCCGCCCCUGACGCUGAGGCACGAAAGCGUGGGGAGCGAACAGG
Molecule: ribosomal RNA, 253 nt
Filed under: uncultured bacterium
Lineage: Bacteria
Description: partial 16S ribosomal RNA
Rfam family: Bacterial small subunit ribosomal RNA
Source: RNAcentral